AGGGACAGCAUGAACUAGCCAUACUUUGAUGGCGACCGGCAAACGGGUGCGGAACACGUACACAACCUUCCUUUUAGUGGGGAAUAGCCCAGAGAAAUUUGGAUUAAUACCCCGUAACAUAACGAUGUGGCAUCACAUUGUUAUUAUAGCUUCGGCGCUAGAUGAUGGGUGUGCGUAUGAUUAGAUAGUUGGCGAGGUAACGGCUCACCAAGUCUACGAUCAUUAGCUGAUGUGAGAGCAUGAUCAGCCACACGGGCACUGAGACACGGGCCCGACUCCUACGGGAGGCAGCAGUAAGGAAUAUUGGUCAAUGGACGCAAGUCUGAACCAGCUAUGCCGCGUGAAGGAUUAAGGUCCUCUGGAUUGUAAACUUCUUUUAUCUGGGACGAAAAAAGGUCUUUCUAGAUCACUUGACGGUACCAGAUGAAUAAGCACCGGCUAACUCCGUGCCAGCAGCCGCGGUAAUACGGAGGGUGCAAGCGUUAUCCGGAUUCACUGGGUUUAAAGGGUGCGUAGGCGGGCAGGUAAGUCGGUGGUGAAAUCCUGGAGCUCAACUCCAGAACUGCCAUUGAUACUAUCUGUCUUGAAUAUUGUGGAGGUAAGCGGAAUAUGUCAUGUAGCGGUGAAAUGCUUAGAUAUGACAUAGAACACCCAUUGCGAAGGCAGCUUACUACGCAUAUAUUGACGCUGAGGCACGAAAGCGUGGGGGAUCAAACAGGAUUAGAUACCCUGGUAGUCCACGCCCUAAACGAUGGAUACUCGACAUACGCGAUACACUGUGUGUGUCUGAGCGAAAGCAUUAAGUAUCCCACCUGGGAAGUACGUUCGCAAGAACGAAACUCAAUGAAUUGGCGGGGUCCGCACA
RNAcentral lists this ribosomal RNA (865 nucleotides) under uncultured bacterium. Its description in RNAcentral is "bacterial SSU rRNA". It matches the Rfam family "Bacterial small subunit ribosomal RNA", at positions 65 to 927 of the family's 1533-position model. The record is from RNAcentral.